Molecule: ribosomal RNA, 265 nt
Filed under: uncultured archaeon
Lineage: Archaea
Description: partial 16S ribosomal RNA
Rfam family: Archaeal small subunit ribosomal RNA
Source: RNAcentral
AGACGUCUACAUUAGAUACCCCGGUAGUCCCAGCCCUAAACGAUGCGCGUUAGGUGUAUCGGUGACCACGAGUCACCGAGGUGCCGAAGGGAAACCGUGAAACGUGCCGCCUGGGAAGUACGGUCGCAAGGCUGAAACUUAAAGGAAUUGGCGGGGGAGUACCACAACGGGUGGAGCCUGCGGUUUAAUUGGACUCAACGCCGGGAAGCUCACCGGAUAAGACAGCGGAAUGAUUGCCGGGCUGAAGACCCUGCAUGACCAGCUG